RNAcentral lists this ribosomal RNA (870 nucleotides) under Paraphausis eximius. RNAcentral describes it as "SSU rRNA". It matches the Rfam family "Eukaryotic small subunit ribosomal RNA", at positions 450 to 1302 of the family's 1831-position model. Lineage: Eukaryota; Metazoa; Arthropoda; Insecta; Coleoptera; Lampyridae. The record is from RNAcentral.
CUCCCGGCACGGGGAGGUAGUGACGAAAAAAACGAUACGGGACUCAUCCGAGGCCCCGUGAUCGGAAUGAGCACACUUUAAAUCCUUUAACGAGGAUCAAUUGGAGGGCAAGUCUGGUGCCAGCAGCCGCGGUAAUUCCAGCUCCAAUAGCGUAUAUUAAAGUUGCUGCGGUUAAAAAGCUCGUAGUCGAAAUUGUGUCCUCGGCCGCCGGUUCGUCGCUCGCGACGCCAACUGGCGCGCACGUUGGACGUCCAGCCGGUACUACGAACUCGCCUACGGGGUGCUCUUAACCGAGUGUCCAGGCGGGGGCCGGCAACGUUACUUUGAACAAAUUAAAGUGCUUAAAGCAGGCUAAAUUGCGCUCGCAUACACGCGCAUGGAAUAAUCGAAUAGGACCUCCGUUCUAUUUUGUUGGGUUUUUGUGGAACGACAGACGGAGGUAAUGAUCAAUGGGUGCGGAUGGGGGCAUUCGUAUUGCGACGUUAGAGGUGAAAUUCUUGGAUCGUCGCAAGACGGACUUAAGCGAAAGCAUUUGCCAAAAACGCUUUCAUCGAUCAAGAACGAAAGUUAGAGGUUCGAAGGCGAUCAGAUACCGCCCUAGUUCUAACCAUAAACUAUGCCAGCUAGCGAUCCGCCGACGUUACUUCUAUGACUCGGCGGGCAGCUUCCGGGAAACCAAAGCUUUCGGGUUCCGGGGGAAGUAUGGUUGCAAAGCUGAAACUUAAAGGAAUUGACGGAAGGGCACCACCAGGAGUGGAGCCUGCGGCUUAAUUUGACUCAACACGGGAAACCUCACCAGGCCCGGACACCGGAAGGAUUGACAGAUUGAGAGCUCYCGUCUUGAUUCGGUGGGUGGUGGUGCAUGGCCGU